GACGAACGCUGGCGGCGUGCCUAACACAUGCAAGUCGAGCGGGGAGUUGCCUUCGGGCGGCUUCUAGCGGCGGACGGGUGAGUAACGCGUGAGCAAUCUGGCCUUGAGAGGGGGAUAACACAUUGAAAGAUGUGCUAAUACCGCAUAAGACCACGGGAUCGCAUGGUUCUGAGGUCAAAGGAGAAAUCCGCUGAAGGAUGAGCUCGCGUCUGAUUAGCUAGUUGGUGAGGUAACGGCCCACCAAGGCGACGAUCAGUAGCCGACCUGAGAGGGUGAUCGGCCACACUGGAACUGAGAAACGGUCCAGACUCCUACGGGAGGCAGCAGUGGGGAAUAUUGGGCAAUGGGGGAAACCCUGACCCAGCAACGCCGCGUGAGGGAAGAAGGCUUUCGGGUCGUAAACCUCUGUCCCAUGUGAAGAGCAGAAGACGGUAGCAUGGGAGGAAGCCCCGGCUAACUACGUGCCAGCAGCCGCGGUAAUACGUAGGGGGCGAGCGUUGUCCGGAAUGAUUGGGCGUAAAGGGCGCGUAGGCGGCCUGUUAAGUCUGGAGUGGAAGUCCUGCUUUCAAGGUGGGAAUUGCUUUGGAAACUGACGGGCUGGAGUGUGGGAGAGGAAAGCGGAAUUCCCGGUGUAGCGGUGAAAUGCGUAGAGAUCGGGAGGAACACCAGUGGGCGAAGGCGGC
Molecule: ribosomal RNA, 683 nt
Filed under: uncultured Eubacteriales bacterium
Lineage: Bacteria; Bacillati; Bacillota; Clostridia; Eubacteriales
Description: bacterial SSU rRNA
Rfam family: Bacterial small subunit ribosomal RNA
Source: RNAcentral